UACGUAGGGCGCAAGCGUUAUCCGGAAUUAUUGGGCGUAAAGAGCUCGUAGGCGGUUUGUCGCGUCUGCCGUGAAAGUCCGGGGCUCAACUCCGGAUCUGCGGUGGGUACGGGCAGACUAGAGUGCAGUAGGGGAGACUGGAAUUCCUGGUGUAGCGGUGGAAUGCGCAGAUAUCAGGAGGAACACCGGUGGCGAAGGCGGGUCUCUGGGCAGUAACUGACGCUGAGGAGCGAAAGCGUGGGGAGCGAACAGG
This 253-nucleotide ribosomal RNA is filed under the name uncultured bacterium. RNAcentral's name for it is "partial 16S ribosomal RNA". It matches the Rfam family "Bacterial small subunit ribosomal RNA", at positions 524 to 776 of the family's 1533-position model. The record is from RNAcentral.